GAUGAACGCUAGCGAUAGGCUUAACACAUGCAAGUCGCGGGGCAGCACAAGGUAGCUUGCUAUCUGGGUGGCGACCGGCGCACGGGUGCGUAACGCGUAUGCAACUUGCCCUAUACAGGAGGAUAACCCGUCGAAAGACGGACUAAUACUGCGUAUGCUCACAACUUGGCAUCAAGUGGUGAGGAAAGAAAUUCGGUAUAGGAUAGGCAUGCGUCCCAUUAGCUUGUUGGUGAGGUAACGGCUCACCAAGGCAACGAUGGGUAGGGGAACUGAGAGGUUUAUCCCCCCCACUUGGACUGAGGCACCGACCAAGAUCCUUCGGGGGGGAGGAAUGGAGGAUAUUGGGCAAUUGGCGCCAACCCGAACCAGGCAAGUCGGGUGAAGGAAGACUGUCUUAAGGAUUGUAAACUUCUUUUAUACGGGGAUAACAAGAGGCACGUGUGACUCCCUGCAUGGACCGGAUGAAUAAACCACGGCUAACUCCGUG
Molecule: ribosomal RNA, 487 nt
Filed under: uncultured bacterium
Lineage: Bacteria
Description: partial 16S ribosomal RNA
Rfam family: Bacterial small subunit ribosomal RNA
Source: RNAcentral